Phalacrocorax carbo (great cormorant) is the source of this 746-nucleotide non-coding RNA. The record is from RefSeq and is a predicted model, not a curated record. NCBI's taxonomy places the organism in Eukaryota, Metazoa, Chordata, Aves, Suliformes, Phalacrocoracidae.
UAGAAGGGCAUAGAAAAAAUAUAGCUAUAGAGCCCCAAAGAUUAUGACAUUUACGAGAUAAAUAACUAAGGAUAGUGGUGAUGAAAGAAGCUUAUCAUUCCUUUAUUCCAUGGCCCACAGAGCUGACUCCAACCAUCUGGUCUCUGUGAAGAUGCGGGCUACACAGCCUGGAGGGAUGAAAUCCAACCUCCCUUCUCUUCUAACAACUCUCCCUUUUUGUGCUGAAGAAAAUAUCUUCUCUGUCUGGUUCUGCGGUGAUUUGAGUGCUGGACAGUGAGACUGCUGGAAAAUCACCUCUUGGCACUGUCCCGAAUGAAGUUCUGCUAUAGUGACAAAAAGAGAUGAUCGUGGUGCCCAAUUCUGCCCUUACUUCUGUAUGGAAAAAUUGUGUGCUGAAGACUUAUGCUUGCAGGUAGUUCAGGCAACAUUUAUUUACAGCUCUGUUUGAUAAUGAAUUUGGAAUGAAACCUAAACAAUGGGCAUGACCAUCAGGAAUGAAGGAGGAAGAUUAUUUUGGUUUUAGUGUUGUACUGAAGAUUUAGUUGGAUUUGAAAGACAAAGUUACGGCAAUCAAGGCUUCAAGAAUGAUAGAAAGGUAGAUAUUAUUUGAAUUUAUAUUGCAAGGAAACACUGGCAAGAACUGAAGGGUGGAAGAGAAGUUAUGAACAAAAAGUAUUUCUGUGUAAAAGUAUAUACAUGUGUGUGAGUAUGUAUAUAUAUCUAUGUAUAUAUUAUUAAACAGUAAA